UAAACAUUUGCAAAAAUGGCUUGGAUGCCAGAAGAAGUUUGACCUUUCCAGAAUUGAUUGUAUCUUCUUUUUUUCCUGAUUUCUGGACACUGCUUUCACAAAUGUCUCAGAAAAGCUCAUUUUUUGAGAUAGAGAAGAAUUGCCCAUGUUUCACAUAUGAAAAUGCACAGAUACACACAGAAGCUGACUUACCAUGAUCACAAGGAAAGUCUACAGUGGAUCAAGAAGCAUGCAGGUGAAAUCUUCUUACCUUGAAGCAAGUGGAAUGACAGCAAAUUUGCAAGGCAUCUAAGAUCAUUUUGGCAUCUAUGCCCAAGGGCUUCCUGCAGUAUGUACAUAUAUCUUUUCCAAUUAUACUCCUGUGUAUAUAAUAUAACAUCAGCUGUCAGAAAAAGAGCUGCUAUUGAAAUCUCAAGCAGAAAAUUGGUAAGGUUAGCACACUGCAUGGGAAAGACAUUUGUAUACUAUACAAUAGCCAUAAUAGAAAAAUGUCAUUUGUGUAUUCUCUCCAUUCCAGUUAACAAGUGUCAUGCACGUGCUCCUGUGAUGGGAAAAUUGCUGAGCUUAAUUGUCAAGUAGCAAAAAUACCUUGGUAGAAAGAAUGGUCUUCUCUGAAUUAAGCUGCUGAAUGUCUGGGAGCAUUUAUAAUAAACAGGGAUAGGGUGAAAGGGAAUGAUUUUAAUGUUUUAAUCUCAAAAGUAAACUGGUUGAAUUCCAACUGCCAUAAUUUGAUCAGUCUGGUUCACAGAAUUCUCUGUGAUGCAGAGGUGCCUAAAAAAACCUUUUUGACUUUCUGCACUGCAUACAGAAUUCAUACCUUGAUGGCAGUUAUAGCAGAUUCGUGUAUAGAACAGUCUACUAUAAUAUUUUUUAUUUAAAAUUUUCUCAGCUCUUGCUGCACUCCUAUGUGACAUCACUCUGUACUUUGUCUAGAUACAACUGUAGGUAUUGUUUUAGCAUUACAAAAUCAAUGACUCUUGCUCCUUGCCUAUCAGUGACAAACUGCUGUAUUAAUAUUUAAUCAUCCCCAGAGUUCCUUAUCCUUUUGUUGGAAAGGAUACAAGUUUUUCUGAUUAGGUAUUUCCAGGUAGUAGGGCUGUCCAAAUUGAAUUAAAAAUACUGGGCACUUUUAACUUCUUUUUCUCCAUGAGGUAAGUUAUUACAGAUUGAGCAAAUAUCCUGCUUAUAUUUGGGAAUGUCUUACUGGUGUGAAAAGAUAGUUUUCAACAGCACUGUCAUGUGAACCUAUUCAUCCAUGCUUGUGCAUAAAUUUGGUCAUUAUUAUUCUCACAAAGGAAGGAAAUUUUGCAGAGUAAGUGGCUGCCUGAGAUAGAAACCUACAGAAUCACAAAGCCAACUUUGUCAUUUAAGGCAUUGGCUCUUGUUUCUACAGAUGUUUUAAAAUGUCAGCUGUGACAAGCCUAACAUAAUAUUAGGCUGCUGAACUGUGGUCAUGAUUUGAUGGCAAGAUCUCACUGAAAGCGACCUUUGUACGAAAAGCUGUCUCAUGAUGGUGACUUCCAGGGCUCUCUUUUGUCUGAAGACUUGAAUGCUUAUGUAAAUGUCUGUGUCCUUUGGUACUCUACAAUGUUAUUAAUGUGUUCUUACCGAUCAGAAGUAGAAUAAACAGUUUUGAUAGUAUUUCCAGUUAUAUUUUCUUCAUAGGCACCAAAUGAUGAUUUGCUGUGAAGCAGAGAGUACAUAGCUAUCACUAAACAGUACUACAUUUUUUUAAAGACUUCACUACAUCGAUGAUAAUAUGCAAAAUAAACUAAGACUACAUGCUUGUAAAAAAAUCGUACUUGGUGAUGAGUUCUUUUUCUGGGGUUUUUCACAAUCAAGAAUAAUGUAUCAAAUAACAAGUGUAAAUUAGUAAUAUAAUAACAUUUGUAAUAUAGCAUCCUUAGACUGUGUUCUAUUUUUGAAUGAUCCUUCAGCACUUCAAAAUUAAAUCCACAAGCACAUUGAGCAAAAUUUACAUAACAGUAUUUGGUUUCCUAUGCUGAUAUCUCAGCCUAAAUUAUACAUAUCAGAAAAUGGUGACAGACAAAAUUUUUUCCUCUUCUUCUUUCACUUGUCCUCAAAAAGCUGUCAAACAUCCAAACAAAAUUACAGUAUGUCCCUAGAAUUAGAGUCUUCAUAAUACAGGAUUUUCAGUGUAUGAUUUGUGUUCACUACAGUAACUGUAUUGUUCCUUAUAUCAGAGUAAAAGGAAUAUAGUGAAUUUAAUUAUCAGGGAAGUUAAAUCUUCCAUUUUUAACAGUUCCAUUUCCAAGUUUCUCAAAUGUCAGUUUUGUUUCCGUGAAAGGAAUGAACAUGUAUGUGACAGCUGAAGUAGUAAUCUGCCAUAUGUGUUUUGAAGAUUUCUGAAUUAAUUUAUUUAUCCUAUUCUCCAAAAAUUCUUAAGGUAUAUAGUAAUUAUAAAACGCUUAAUCUCACUCUUGAAUAAUGUUCUGCAACAUUAGGAGCAAUUGUUUAUAAUCAUGUGUAUUUACCAAAUGUUGUUUUUUUCCAGGAAAUACAACAGAUUGAUAACAUGUGUAAGGUGUUACGAAACUCAGAUACUCUUUUCUACAUACCUGUAUUUUGUAAAGUACAUAUGUCUUAUUUGAUUUCUGUGCAACACCAGAAAUAUAUUUAAAUUGCAGCUACUGAUAAACUGAAAUGAUAAAUGUUUUAUUAAUAUUUCAUAGAACAUAACAAGGGGCUUGUUAUUUAAUCAGAAUGAGUUUGCUCACCACAGAGGAAAUAUUUCCUCAAAUGAACACCCAGUGUUCCAUUUACAUUUCAGGUGAGAUGAAAGUAAGCUUACAAAGUAGGAAUGCAAACUAAAGCUAAGUGAUCACCUUUUGAAAGAGUUUCUCUGGCUGAGAAAUUCACUUGACCAAGAAUGUGCAUAACAUAUGUCACAGGGUGGAGUGUAUUUAUAGUACAAUUAACCAAAGUUUCUAAAGUGGCAAGGAAUAUAAUUUCUUUGUUCCUGUAAAGUAUGAGCCUGUGCUUGUUAUUUUUGUUGUUAAGCUUAUUUUUUCCCAAGUUUUCAAUUUAACUCAUAUUUAACUGUGGAAUCUCGGGCAAAGUGAGUACUGUGCAUUGGACACUCAACAUAAUAUAUGUAUGUAUGUAUAAUACGUGCUGUAUGCCAGAAAGUAGCAUUAUCUUACAGGAAGUUGUAUAGAGAAAAAUGCUUUCCUCAAGUGUUCUAGUGUAGAGAACAGCAUCCCUCGGAUUUUACUAUCUGUAUUAUGGUUGAAAUACACAAAUAUAUAAAACCACAGCUUUGGUAGAAAACUACAACUGGAGUGUAUAAAAUAAAAAUUCUGAAGCUACAGCAAA
Taeniopygia guttata (zebra finch) is the source of this 3336-nucleotide non-coding RNA. Lineage: Eukaryota; Metazoa; Chordata; Aves; Passeriformes; Estrildidae. The record is from RefSeq and is a predicted model, not a curated record.